This 564-nucleotide ribosomal RNA is filed under the name uncultured beta proteobacterium. Its description in RNAcentral is "bacterial SSU rRNA". It matches the Rfam family "Bacterial small subunit ribosomal RNA", at positions 338 to 895 of the family's 1533-position model. Lineage: Bacteria; Pseudomonadati; Pseudomonadota; Betaproteobacteria. The record is from RNAcentral.
CCUACGGGAGGCAGCAGUGGGGAAUUUUGGACAAUGGGGGAAACCCUGAUCCAGCCAUUCCGCGUGUGCGAUGAAGGCCUUCGGGUUGUAAAGCACUUUUGGCAGGAAAGAAAUCGCACGGGUUAAUAACCCGUGUGGAUGACGGUACCUGCAGAAUAAGCACCGGCUAACUACGUGCCAGCAGCCGCGGUAAUACGUAGGGUGCAAGCGUUAAUCGGAAUUACUGGGCGUAAAGCGUGCGCAGGCGGUUCGGAAAGAAGGAUGUGAAAUCCCAGGGCUUAACCUUGGAACUGCAUUCUUAACUACCGGGCUAGAGUAUGUCAGAGGGAGGUGGAAUUCCGCGUGUAGCAGUGAAAUGCGUAGAUAUGCGGAGGAACACCGAUGGCGAAGGCAGCCUCCUGGGAUAAUACUGACGCUCAUGCACGAAAGCGUGGGGAGCAAACAGGAUUAGAUACCCUGGUAGUCCACGCCCUAAACGAUGUCAACUAGUUGUUGGGGCCUUCGGGCCUUAGUAACGCAGCUAACGCGUGAAGUUGACCGCCUGGGGAGUACGGUCGCAAGAUU